GACGAACGCGGCGGCGUGCCUAAUACAUGCAAGUAGAACGCUGAAGGAGGAGCUUGCUCUUCUGGAUGAGUUGCGAACGGGUGAGUAACGCGUAGGUAACCUGCCUGGUAGCGGGGGAUAACUAUUGGAAACGAUAGCUAAUACCGCAUAAGAGUAGAUGUUGCAUGACAUUUGCUUAAAAGGUGCAAUUGCAUCACUACCAGAUGGACCUGCGUUGUAUUAGCUAGUUGGUGAGGUAACGGCUCACCAAGGCGACGAUACAUAGCCGACCUGAGAGGGUGAUCGGCCACACUGGGACUGAGACACGGCCCAGACUCCUACGGGAGGCAGCAGUAGGGAAUCUUCGGCAAUGGACGGAAGUCUGACCGAGCAACGCCGCGUGAGUGAAGAAGGUUUUCGGAUCGUAAAGCUCUGUUGUAAGAGAAGAACGAGUGUGAGAGUGGAAAGUCACACUGUGACG
This 460-nucleotide ribosomal RNA is filed under the name Streptococcus sp. oral taxon 064. RNAcentral's name for it is "bacterial SSU rRNA". It matches the Rfam family "Bacterial small subunit ribosomal RNA", at positions 28 to 474 of the family's 1533-position model. Lineage: Bacteria; Bacillati; Bacillota; Bacilli; Lactobacillales; Streptococcaceae. The record is from RNAcentral.